GCCAUGUCGGUCGCUCGCCCGCCCCGCAGCAAGUGCGGCGGCCCCACCUCCGCGCACUAGCUCCUCACUUCCGCCCUCGCGGGCCGAUCUGCUCAUGCGCAAGACCGCGCGGCAGGACGCACGCGCGCCUAGUGGACUCUCAGUGUGAGGGAAGCGCGCCCAUCCCUAGUGCGCAUGACAGAAAAGCGGUCUCCGCUCGCCGCCUGUUGUGCCCCGGUGUUGCUGGGCAGGAAAAAAAAAGGGCGGGGGGCGUGGUGUAGAAAGUGGGCGGGGCGUCGGAGAGGAAGGCUUUUCAAAGUAAUGCGUCAGGAUUUGGCGCCAACUGAUUGUCAUUUCAUACCUACACUACCGUAGUUUCCGAUUAAAUGCCCUUCAGAGUUUU
Molecule: long non-coding RNA, 382 nt
Organism: Myotis davidii
Lineage: Eukaryota; Metazoa; Chordata; Mammalia; Chiroptera; Vespertilionidae
Exons: 2
Source: RefSeq, a predicted model, not a curated record